RNAcentral lists this ribosomal RNA (382 nucleotides) under Bacteroides fragilis. RNAcentral's name for it is "bacterial SSU rRNA". It matches the Rfam family "Bacterial small subunit ribosomal RNA", at positions 1143 to 1533 of the family's 1533-position model. The record is from RNAcentral. Lineage: Bacteria; Pseudomonadati; Bacteroidota; Bacteroidia; Bacteroidales; Bacteroidaceae.
GAGAGACUGCCGUCGUAAGAUGUGAGGAAGGUGGGGAUGACGUCAAAUCAGCACGGCCCUUACGUCCGGGGCUACACACGUGUUACAAUGGGGGGUACAGAAGGCAGCUAGCGGGUGACCGUAUGCUAAUCCCAAAAUCCUCUCUCAGUUCGGAUCGAAGUCUGCAACCCGACUUCGUGAAGCUGGAUUCGCUAGUAAUCGCGCAUCAGCCACGGCGCGGUGAAUACGUUCCCGGGCCUUGUACACACCGCCCGUCAAGCCAUGGGAGCCGGGGGUACCUGAAGUACGUAACCGCAAGGAUCGUCCUAGGGUAAAACUGGUGACUGGGGCUAAGUCGUAACAAGGUAGCCGUACCGGAAGGUGCGGCUGGAACACCUCCUUU